Molecule: long non-coding RNA, 493 nt
Organism: Astyanax mexicanus (Mexican tetra)
Lineage: Eukaryota; Metazoa; Chordata; Actinopteri; Characiformes; Acestrorhamphidae
Exons: 3
Source: RefSeq, a predicted model, not a curated record
AGCUCCCCCUUCAGUCCGUUCAGCCAUUUUACCGACAGGUUGCAGUAGAGCUGAACAGUAAAAAAAGUCUGUUUCUAAUAAACAAACAGAGAGACUUCAGUCCAGUGCAGUAAAAGCCUCUAAAAGCGGGAGAAAUUAACUCCUUUAAACUCCUGAAAUUAUGUCCUUUAAAGACAGGUAACUAGCUGAGACCCCUCCCUCCACAACCUUCAGUACACGGAGCUUCAACAGGCAGAGAUAAACCGGCUUCACUUCAGCCUGAACUUCAUUCAAACCACCAAUGACAGCCACACUGUUCUGGACAUCAUCAAGAUGCACUUUACAGAGGAUGCGGUGGAAACCCUCUUGAGGAGUAGGGAGACUGGACUGUUUACACCGGUCAUGCCACUGGUAGACAAAAGCAGGCAGUAGAAGAUGAAGAUGAACAUUCCCUGGAAGGUGUUGAAGAUGGUGAAGAGAUAAGCUAGCACCACUGAGGUCUCACUGAUGAAGA